AUACUUACCUGGCAGGGGAGAUACCACGAUCACGAAGGUGGUUUUCCCAGGGCGAGGCUUAUCCAUUGCACUCCGGAUGUGCUGACCCCUGCGAUUUCCCCAAAUGUGGGAAACUCGACUGCAUAAUUUGUGGUAGUGGGGGACUGCGUUCGCGCUCUCCCCGG
Otolemur garnettii (small-eared galago) is the source of this 164-nucleotide small nuclear RNA. Its record names the gene U1. It matches the Rfam family "U1 spliceosomal RNA". From Rfam's summary of the family: U1 is a small nuclear RNA (snRNA) component of the spliceosome (involved in pre-mRNA splicing). Its 5' end forms complementary base pairs with the 5' splice junction, thus defining the 5' donor site of an intron. Lineage: Eukaryota; Metazoa; Chordata; Mammalia; Primates; Galagidae. The record is from Ensembl.